UACGGAGGAUGCGAGCGUUAUCCGGAUUUAUUGGGUUUAAAGGGUGCGUAGGCGGUCCGUUAAGUCAGCGGUCAAAUCGUGGGGCUCAACCCCAUCCAGCCGUUGAAACUGGGGAUCUAGAGUGUGCGAGAGGUAGGCGGAAUUCGUGGUGUAGCGGUGAAAUGCUUAGAUAUCACGAAGAACUCCGAUUGCGAAGGCAGCCUGCUGGACUGUAACUGACGCUGAUGCUCGAAAGUGUGGGUAUCGAACAGG
RNAcentral lists this ribosomal RNA (252 nucleotides) under uncultured Bacteroidales bacterium. RNAcentral's name for it is "partial 16S ribosomal RNA". It matches the Rfam family "Bacterial small subunit ribosomal RNA", at positions 524 to 776 of the family's 1533-position model. Lineage: Bacteria; Pseudomonadati; Bacteroidota; Bacteroidia; Bacteroidales. The record is from RNAcentral.